Molecule: transfer RNA, 73 nt
Filed under: Thermoplasmata archaeon
Lineage: Archaea; Methanobacteriati; Thermoplasmatota; Thermoplasmata
Also listed under: 1 other name
Description: tRNA-Val
Rfam family: tRNA
About the family: Transfer RNA (tRNA) molecules are approximately 80 nucleotides in length.
Source: RNAcentral
GGGCUCGUGGUCUAGGGGUUAUGACGCUGCCCUUACGAGGCAGAGGUCGCCGGUUCGAAUCCGGCCGAGCCCA